This 566-nucleotide ribosomal RNA is filed under the name [Candida] sp. NYNU 167107. RNAcentral's name for it is "eukaryotic LSU rRNA". It matches the Rfam family "Eukaryotic large subunit ribosomal RNA", at positions 62 to 648 of the family's 3401-position model. Lineage: Eukaryota; Fungi; Ascomycota; Saccharomycetes; Saccharomycetales. The record is from RNAcentral.
AAACCAACAGGGAUUGCCUUAGUAACGGCGAGUGAAGCGGCAAAAGCUCAAAUUUGAAAUCUGGCACCUUCGGUGUCCGAGUUGUAAUUUGAAGAAGGUAACCUUGGGAUUGGCUCUUGUCUAUGUUUCUUGGAACAGAACGUCACAGAGGGUGAGAAUCCCGUGCGAUGAGAUGCCCAAUUCUAUGUAAGGUGCUUUCGAAGAGUCGAGUUGUUUGGGAAUGCAGCUCUAAGUGGGUGGUAAAUUCCAUCUAAAGCUAAAUAUUGGCGAGAGACCGAUAGCGAACAAGUACAGUGAUGGAAGAUGAAAAGAACUUUGAAAAGAGAGUGAAAAAGUACGUGAAAUUGUUGAAAGGGAAGGGUAUGAGAUCAGACUUGGUGUUUUGCAACCUUACCUUCGGGUGGGGCCCCUGCAGUUCAUCGGGCCAGCAUCAGUUUGGAUGGUAGGAUAAUGACAUUGGAAUGUAGCUUGGCUUCGGUUAAGUGUUAUAGCCCUUGUUGAUACUGCCUGUCUAGACUGAGGACUGCGUCUUUGACUAGGAUGCUGGCAUAAUGAUCCUAUACCGC